AACAGGAUUCCCUUAGUAAUGGCGAAUGAACAGGGAUGAGCUCAGCAUGGAAAUCGGGGUCUCCCGACCUUGAAUUGUAGUCUGUAGAUGUACUGCCAACGGAGGCGCAGAUGUAAGCCUCUUGGAAAAGAGCAUCAACGAGGGUGAGAGUCCCGUUUGUCAUCUGCAGUCCCCCGUGCACGGUGUGCCUUCUAAGAGUCACGUUCCUCGGGAUUGGAGCGCAAAGUGGGUGGUAAAUUUCAUCUAAAGCUAAAUAUUGGUUCGAGACCGAUAGCAAACAAGUACCAUGAGGGAAAGGUGAAAAGGACUUUGAAAAGAGAGUUAAAAGUGCCUGAAAUUGCUGAAAGGGAAGCGAAUGGAACCAGUGUUCUUGAUGAGAUUGUUGCGUACUCUGGUGAUUGCUGGGUGUUCCACCGCAAGGGGGGCAUCUAGUUUUGAGCUAGAUGUGCGUGGUGUUUCUUGUCUUGUGUGUCACCGUCGGUGCACGAGCGAGUAAACCUCCAGGGGGCUGGUAACUCGACCACGGUUGAGUGAAUACCUUUGGCAGUACUCAUUUGUGUAUCGAUCCCUGCGUGUCUGGUUGCAGUGUUUGGGUCGCCUGGAAACUCCUGAAGGGCUUGUCCUCGAAGGAGUCCUUUUGGGCGCCCUGAGCAUCUCCCUGACACAAAGACGAU
Molecule: ribosomal RNA, 674 nt
Filed under: Azadinium spinosum
Lineage: Eukaryota; Dinophyceae; Gonyaulacales; Amphidomataceae
Description: partial large subunit ribosomal RNA
Rfam family: Eukaryotic large subunit ribosomal RNA
Source: RNAcentral